RNAcentral lists this transfer RNA (92 nucleotides) under Glaesserella parasuis 12939. RNAcentral's name for it is "tRNA-Lys". It matches the Rfam family "tRNA". From Rfam's summary of the family: Transfer RNA (tRNA) molecules are approximately 80 nucleotides in length. Their secondary structure includes four short double-helical elements and three loops (D, anti-codon, and T loops). Lineage: Bacteria; Pseudomonadati; Pseudomonadota; Gammaproteobacteria; Pasteurellales; Pasteurellaceae. The record is from RNAcentral.
GGGUCGUUAGCUCAGUCGGUAGAGCACUCAGUCGGUAGAGCAGCGGACUUUUAAUCCGUUGGUCGAAGGUUCGAAUCCUUCACGACCCACCA